RNAcentral lists this long non-coding RNA (238 nucleotides) under Elaeis guineensis (African oil palm). RNAcentral describes it as "long non-coding RNA (EGUI_LNC062217)". Lineage: Eukaryota; Viridiplantae; Streptophyta; Magnoliopsida; Arecales; Arecaceae. The record is from RNAcentral.
AUGUAAACUAUACCUUAAGGUUCUUCUUCGAUUCUACUAAGCUACCACAACAUACUGUUAGAUGUCACUGGUGGAUUGUGAAAGCUCACUAGGAUUGCUCAGGAUCAACAAUCUUUGAUGAGUUAGAGUGAAAUUGUUUCGAUCUAUUGAAAAAAAUUUCAAUGAUACUAUGUUAGAGCUCAUUGUAUAUCUCACUACCAGAUAAAAUUGAACCUAUGAGAUCACACAACAAAGGGAU